AUUUAAAUAGCUUAAAUUUAAAGUGUAGCACUGAAGAUGCUGGGAUAAUAUGAUUAAUUAUUUUUAAAUA
Molecule: transfer RNA, 70 nt
Filed under: Pseudomyrmex concolor
Lineage: Eukaryota; Metazoa; Arthropoda; Insecta; Hymenoptera; Formicidae
Description: tRNA-Phe
Rfam family: tRNA
About the family: Transfer RNA (tRNA) molecules are approximately 80 nucleotides in length.
Source: RNAcentral